UGUGCCGUGAUGUAGGGCGGACAAGGUCGACCGCCGGCUGCACUGCUUGGUCGAUCCUUCUACGAAGUCGGCGGGAUUUCAAUCCAGUGCUUGUAAUUUUGUUGGACUGGGGAGGUGAAUGCAAAAGACCAAGCUCUGCUAACUUAGCUUCGUUUCUGGCUAUGCAUGUAGCACGCUCUUCCUCAAGGUCCAUCAAAGAUCGUAAUGAUAUCGCAAUAUUGCCUAUAUGAAUGACGAAUGUAAGCAGGAUGUAGUCAUUUUGGACUGAUGUAUGAAGAUGUGUACGGCGUGAUUGCAAGCGACCUGUACCAAUGAGGCAAACCGUUCAUGGAUUUUGAGGUGUAAUUUAUUACAGAAAAGGUUGCCGCAUUUGCAAGACUUAGGCAUUGUGUGAAUGUGGACGGGUCCUGCAGGCCAAGACCCCGAGUGCCUAUGCCCCGGAGUGGAAGUUGGCUAACGAAUUACUGCGAGGCCAGGAACACCAAUUGAGUUAACUAUUGCUUGUCUUUAUAGCUUAAAUUCUGCGCAAAGCGCACAUACUCUGGUAGAAGGUAACUGCGACGGCCGGACAGAGGUUACGCAAUUUCAUAAAGCCAACCGAACGGGCUACAGAGACUUUAUAGCUAAAUCAAAGUUAUUGCUUUAACUAGUAUAGCANACAGCUUCACGCGCGGGCACUCUGACGUCGACAUGGCCGAUGAUGAUGACAGGACUUCUAGCUUUGUACCCAUCCAAAUGC
RNAcentral lists this long non-coding RNA (739 nucleotides) under Volvox carteri. RNAcentral's name for it is "long non-coding RNA (VCAR_LNC004176)". Lineage: Eukaryota; Viridiplantae; Chlorophyta; Chlorophyceae; Chlamydomonadales; Volvocaceae. The record is from RNAcentral.